This 1128-nucleotide long non-coding RNA is filed under the name Homo sapiens (human). Its description in RNAcentral is "HSALNT0388093". The record is from RNAcentral. Lineage: Eukaryota; Metazoa; Chordata; Mammalia; Primates; Hominidae.
UGGUCUUGAACUCCUGACCUCAGGUGAUCCGCCCACCUCGGCCUCCCAAAGUGCUGGGAUUACAGAUGUAAUCCCACGGUGCCCAGCCUCUCACUGUUGAAGACUUUUUUAAAAACUGAACUAUGACAUAUAGGUAGAGAAGUACACACAUCACAGCUUGAUGAAAUGUCUACAGACUGAAUGCAUCCAGCUCCCAGAUGAAGAAAUGAAACAUUCCCAAGUCCUCGGAACCCCUGCUUGCUUCCUCCAGCCUCCGCUGGCCCCGAGGGUCACUGCUACCCUGACUGACACCAUGGAUUUGCUGGAUCUGUUUGUGCUUCAGGUUCAAGGACUCCUACAGCCAAGGCUUGUUUGGGGGCUCAGAGCUGAUUUGCAGCCCAUCUUGAUGUGCCUCAUGGCUACUGAUCUCAUCCCUGCAUUCUUCUCCUCCUGCUUCCACCAGCUUUAUUAAGGCUCACUGUUCUGAGGUCAUUCUGAGGAUUUCUUCUGGGCUUGCAUAGCUGGGACUUCCUGUACCACCAGUUCAAUUCUGCCUAGAGCUGAGGACCAUGCCAGAUAAGCAAGUCCCACAACCAGCCACUGCUCAGGACAGGAUGCUGAAAGUGAUGCUGGGCGGCCAGCCAGACUCUGGAUCCCUAGGGCUCUGCCAGAGGUAGUGGAGGUCAAGGUCUGCCUCAUCUGAGACCCUUCUCACCGGCCGGGAAUGACCCCGUACCUACUCUCUGGCCUCCUCUGGGGGCCUUGCUCUUGGCGCUGGAUCCCUGUGCUCUGUCCCCUGACCUUGGAGGAAUUGCCCUCCUGCGUGUAUGGAAUGACCACAGGCCUCCCUCUCACUCUUGCUGCCCUCCGCUCCUCACACCUGCCCUGUGGCCUCAAGUUCAGGAUUCAGUUUGUUGCCCAGGACAGAGUCUGGUUUUUCUCCAGAAAUUAGAUGCAGAAUCAGGCCUAACCAGCUUCUCAAACUCACAGACUUGGUCAGCAAACAUUCCCAAGCCUCAAAGGCUGAGACCCCUGGAGGAACGAUGCCAGCAGAGACAAAACGACAUUGAGAGGUAAGUCAAUUAAAAUGUUAAAAAACAUCAGAUUAGGCUGAGCGCAGUGGCUCGUGUGUGUAAUUCCAGCACUUUG